AGUGAACGCUGGCGGUAGGCCUAACACAUGCAAGUCGAACGGCAGCACAGUAAGAGCUUGCUCUUACGGGUGGCGAGUGGCGGACGGGUGAGGAAUACAUCGGAAUCUACUUUUUCGUGGGGGAUAACGUAGGGAAACUUACGCUAAUACCGCAUACGACCUACGGGUGAAAGCAGGGGAUCUUCGGACCUUGCGCGAUUGAAUGAGCCGAUGUCGGAUUAGCUAGUUGGCGGGGUAAAGGCCCACCAAGGCGACGAUCCGUAGCUGGUCUGAGAGGAUGAUCAGCCACACUGGAACUGAGACACGGUCCAGACUCCUACGGGAGGCAGCAGUGGGGAACAUUGGACAAUGGGCGCAAGCCUGAUCCAGCCAUACCGCGUGGGUGAAGAGGGCCUUCGGGUUGUAAAGCCCUUUUGUUGGGAAAGAAAAGCAGCAGGUUAAUACCCCGCUGUUCUGACGGUACCCAAAGAAUAAGCACCGGCUAACUUCGUG
This 492-nucleotide ribosomal RNA is filed under the name uncultured bacterium. RNAcentral describes it as "partial 16S ribosomal RNA". It matches the Rfam family "Bacterial small subunit ribosomal RNA", at positions 29 to 507 of the family's 1533-position model. The record is from RNAcentral.